Molecule: non-coding RNA, 79 nt
Organism: Cyanobacteria bacterium 13_1_40CM_2_61_4
Lineage: Bacteria; Bacillati; Cyanobacteriota
Source: Rfam
GAGAGCCGGAUGCGGGAAAACCGCCAGUCCGGUUCGGAGGGAGGGGGAGCCGAAACCAAUCGGUUCUCCCUACCCCUAU